This 465-nucleotide ribosomal RNA is filed under the name Vreelandella stevensii. Its description in RNAcentral is "partial 16S ribosomal RNA". It matches the Rfam family "Bacterial small subunit ribosomal RNA", at positions 338 to 795 of the family's 1533-position model. Lineage: Bacteria; Pseudomonadati; Pseudomonadota; Gammaproteobacteria; Oceanospirillales; Halomonadaceae. The record is from RNAcentral.
CCUACGGGUGGCAGCAGUGGGGAAUAUUGGACAAUGGGCGAAAGCCUGAUCCAGCCAUGCCGUGUGUGUGAAGAAGGCCUUCGGGUUGUAAAGCACUUUCAGUGGGGAAGAAAGCCUUGGGGCUAAUACCCUCGAGGAAGGACAUCACCCACAGAAGAAGCACCGGCUAACUCCGUGCCAGCAGCCGCGGUAAUACGGAGGGUGCGAGCGUUAAUCGGAAUUACUGGGCGUAAAGCGCGCGUAGGCGGUCUGAUAAGCCGGUUGUGAAAGCCCCGGGCUCAACCUGGGAACGGCAUCCGGAACUGUCAGGCUAGAGUGCAGGAGAGGAAGGUAGAAUUCCCGGUGUAGCGGUGAAAUGCGUAGAGAUCGGGAGGAAUACCAGUGGCGAAGGCGGCCUUCUGGACUGACACUGACGCUGAGGUGCGAAAGCGUGGGUAGCAAACAGGAUUAGAUACCCCAGUAGUC